AGCUACGCCGGCGUGAACCGAAUUUUCGCGUCAAGAGAUUCACAGUCAACGGCAGUGCUGGCUCCAGCGGAGAAAUUUAUUCUUGGUCCAUAUCGUGAAAUUUAUAGCCUCAACGAGCUACUCGGCGGGCGCUUCACUAAUGAAGGGUACGAGUUCUAUUGUGGAUUCAGGCCCGCCAACGUCACUUUCACCAUUGCUACCAAGAGAUUUGUCCUUACGGCGGAAGACUACAUUUAUAAGGUCGACACAACUUCUGGAACUAAGUGCUAUAGCGCUUUCUAGACGGCCUACAGGGGAGACGACGCUGCCGCAUGGCAUUUGGGCAUUCCUUUCCUGCGGCGAGCCUACACUGUGCUCGAAUCUCCCUCAAAUUCGAGGGGCCACGGGCGCGUGGGCUUCGCUCCAAUACGCUCGCCUUGACAGCAUCGUUAACCACAGCGGACAGCGCAAUUUCCGGGUUGUGAUUUCACGGCCUACUGCAUUUCAAUUCUUGAAUAAAUUGCCAUU
Long non-coding RNA from Rhipicephalus sanguineus (brown dog tick), 507 nucleotides. RefSeq lists it as uncharacterized. NCBI's taxonomy places the organism in Eukaryota, Metazoa, Arthropoda, Arachnida, Ixodida, Ixodidae. The transcript has 3 exons. The record is from RefSeq and is a predicted model, not a curated record.